CUACGGGAGGCAGCAGUAGGGAAUCUUCCGCAAUGGACGCAAGUCUGACGGAGCAACGCCGCGUGAGUGAUGAAGGUUUUCGGAUCGUAAAGCUCUGUUGCCAGGGAAGAACGCCAAGGAGAGUAACUGCUCUUUGGGUGACGGUACCUGAGAAGAAAGCCCCGGCUAACUACGUGCCAGCAGCCGCGGUAAUA
Molecule: ribosomal RNA, 194 nt
Filed under: uncultured low G+C Gram-positive bacterium
Lineage: Bacteria; Bacillati; Bacillota
Description: partial 16S ribosomal RNA
Rfam family: Bacterial small subunit ribosomal RNA
Source: RNAcentral